UACGUAGGGUGCAAGCGUUGUCCGGAAUUAUUGGGCGUAAAGAGCUCGUAGGCGGUUUGUCGCGUCUGCUGUGAAAUCCCGAGGCUCAACCUCGGGCCUGCAGUGGGUACGGGCAGACUAGAGUGCGGUAGGGGAGAUUGGAAUUCCUGGUGUAGCGGUGGAAUGCGCAGAUAUCAGGAGGAACACCGGUGGCGAAGGCGGGUCUCUGGGCCGUAACUGACGCUGAGGAGCGAAAGCAUGGGGAGCGAACAGG
Molecule: ribosomal RNA, 253 nt
Filed under: uncultured bacterium
Lineage: Bacteria
Description: partial 16S ribosomal RNA
Rfam family: Bacterial small subunit ribosomal RNA
Source: RNAcentral